AGGUAAGCUACUAAGAGCGAAUGGUGGAUGCCUUGACUGGUAAAGGCGAUGAAGGACGUACUAGACUGCGAUAAGCUACGGGGAGCUGUCAAGAAGCUUUGAUCCGUAGAUUUCCGAAUGGGGCAACCCAAUGUAUAGAGAUAUACAUUACCUAUAUAGGAGCGAACGAGGGGAAUUGAAACAUCUUAGUACCCUCAGGAAAAGAAAUCAAUAGAGAUUGCGUCAGUAGCGGCGAGCGAAAGCGUAAGAGGGCAAACCCAGUGCUUGCACUGGGGGUUGUAGGACUGCAAUGUGCAAGAGGUGAGUUUAGCAGAACAUUCUGGAAAGUAUAGCCAUAGAGGGUGAUAGUCCCGUAUGCGAAAAACAAACCUUAGCUAGCAGUAUCCUGAGUAGGGCGGGACACGAGAAAUCCUGUCUGAAGCUGGGUCGACCACGAUCCAACCCUAAAUACUAAUACCAGAUCGAUAGUGCACAAGUACCGUGAGGGAAAGGUGAAAAGAACUGAGGUGAUCAGAGUGAAAUAGAACCUGAAACCAUUUGCUUACAAUCAUUCAGAGCACUAUGUAGCAAUACAGUGUGAUGGACUGCCUUUUGCAUAAUGAGCCUGCGAGUUGUGGUGUCUGGCAAGGUUAAGCAAACGCGAAGCCGUAGCGAAAGCGAGUCUGAAUAGGGCGCUUAGUCAGAUGCUGCAGACCCGAAACGAAGUGAUCUAUCCAUGAGCAAGUUGAAGCUAGUGUAAGAACUAGUGGAGGACUGAACCCAUAGGCGUUGAAAAGCCCCGGGAUGACUUGUGGAUAGGGGUGAAAGGCCAAUCAAACUUCGUGAUAGCUGGUUCUCUCCGAAAUAUAUUUAGGUAUAGCGUUGUGUCGUAAUAUAAGGGGGUAGAGCACUGAAUGGGCUAGGGCAUACACCAAUGUACCAAACCCUAUCAAACUCCGAAUACCUUAUAUGUAAUCACAGCAGUCAGGCGGCGAGUGAUAAAAUCCGUCGUCAAGAGGGAAACAACCCAGACUACCAGCUAAGGUCCCUAAAUCUUACUUAAGUGGAAAACGAUGUGAAGUUACUUAAACAACCAGGAGGUUGGCUUAGAAGCAGCCAUCCUUUAAAGAAAGCGUAAUAGCUCACUGGUCUAGUGAUUUUGCGCGGAAAAUAUAACGGGGCUAAAGUAAGUACCGAAGCUGUAGACUUAGUUUACUAAGUGGUAGGAGAGCGUUCUAUUUGCGCCGAAGGUAUACCGGUAAGGAGUGCUGGAGCGAAUAGAAGUGAGCAUGCAGGCAUGAGUAGCGAUAAUUAAUGUGAGAAUCAUUAACGCCGUAAACCCAAGGUUUCCUACGCGAUGCUCGUCAUCGUAGGGUUAGUCGGGUCCUAAGUCGAGUCCGAAAGGGGUAGACGAUGGCAAAUUGGUUAAUAUUCCAAUACCAACAUUAGUGUGCGAUGGAAGGACGCUUAGGGCUAAGGGGGCUAGCGGAUGGAAGUGCUAGUCUAAGGUCGUAGGAGGUUAUACAGGCAAAUCCGUAUAACAAUACUCCGAGAACUGAAAGGCUUUUUGAAGUCUUCGGAUGGAUAGAAGAACCCCUGAUGCCGUCGAGCCAAGAAAAGUUUCUAAGUUUAGCUAAUGUUGCCCGUACCGUAAACCGACACAGGUGGGUGGGAUGAGUAUUCUAAGGCGCGUGGAAGAACUCUCUUUAAGGAACUCUGCAAAAUAGCACCGUAUCUUCGGUAUAAGGUGUGGUUCGCUUCGUAUUAGGAUUUACUCCGAAAGCGAAGAAACUUACAACAAAGAGUCCCUCCCGACUGUUUACCAAAAACACAGCACUCUGCUAACUCGUAAGAGGAUGUAUAGGGUGUGACGCCUGCCCGGUGCUCGAAGGUUAAUUGAUGGGGUU
This 1886-nucleotide ribosomal RNA is filed under the name Campylobacter coli. RNAcentral describes it as "partial 23S ribosomal RNA". It matches the Rfam family "Bacterial large subunit ribosomal RNA", at positions 1 to 1891 of the family's 2925-position model. The record is from RNAcentral. Lineage: Bacteria; Pseudomonadati; Campylobacterota; Epsilonproteobacteria; Campylobacterales; Campylobacteraceae.